This 223-nucleotide long non-coding RNA is filed under the name Hordeum vulgare. RNAcentral describes it as "long non-coding RNA (HVUL_LNC016287)". The record is from RNAcentral. Lineage: Eukaryota; Viridiplantae; Streptophyta; Magnoliopsida; Poales; Poaceae.
UGUUAGAAAGGUUUUUCAAACACUAGACUCAACUUUGGCCAAGGAUCUGGAAAGGAGGCUACCUACAGGCAGUCGGCUCUGAUACCAACUUGUGACGCCCUCGAUUUAAUCGUACGCUAAACAUACACGCAAAUGCGUACGAUCAGACUCAAGGACUCACGGGAAAAUAUCACAACACCACUCUAGACACAAGUAAAACAAUACAAGCUUCAUAUUACAAGCC